UAGGGAAUCUUCCGCAAUGGACGCAAGUCUGACGGAGCAACGCCGCGUGAGUGAAGAAGGAUUUCGGUUCGUAAAACUCUGUUGUUAGAGAAGAACAGCGCAUAGAGUAACUGUUAUGCGUGUGACGGUAUCUAACCAGAAAGCCACGGCUAACUACGUGCCAGCAGCCGCGGUAAUACGUAGGUGGCAAGCGUUGUCCGGAUUUAUUGGGCGUAAAGCGAGCGCAGGCGGUCAAUUAAGUCUGAUGUGAAAGCCCCCGGCUCAACCGGGGAGGGUCAUUGGAAACUGGUUGACUUGAGUGCAGAAGAGGAGAGUGGAAUUCCAUGUGUAGCGGUGAAAUGCGUAGAUAUAUGGAGGAACACCAGUGGCGAAGGCGACUCUCUGGUCUGUAACUGACGCUGAGGCUCGAAGGCGUGGGUGGCAAACAGG
This 429-nucleotide ribosomal RNA is filed under the name Bacteroidota bacterium. RNAcentral describes it as "Bacteroidetes bacterium partial 16S ribosomal RNA". It matches the Rfam family "Bacterial small subunit ribosomal RNA", at positions 355 to 776 of the family's 1533-position model. The record is from RNAcentral. Lineage: Bacteria; Pseudomonadati; Bacteroidota.